This is a non-coding RNA of Peromyscus maniculatus bairdii (prairie deer mouse), 519 nucleotides long. The record is from RefSeq and is a predicted model, not a curated record. NCBI's taxonomy places the organism in Eukaryota, Metazoa, Chordata, Mammalia, Rodentia, Cricetidae.
UAGGUGGCUGAGUUUGGACCACCACCAAGUCUUACAGAGAAGGAAAUGGAGGUCCACAGACAGGAAGUAGCUUGCUGAAGCUGAGUUAUUGGCUUGGCUGGAAUGAGAACUCAGGUCAUCCACCUUCUGCUGAGACUCCUAUCCGGUGCUGGGCCCCAAGAGAGACAGCAGGAAAGUGUAGUCAAGAUAAGGCUCCAGAAACACAGCAGGACCUGGUCAGUACCUGGAAUGGUCAGGCCCAAGGAGUAAUUAACUGUGGGUUAUCAAAGGACCCACCGCCUGUGCCCACUGGAGACUGAUGCUGGCGGUCUGUUGAACCUGGUUUGUCCCUGGUGAAGACUAAAUGGCUCUUGGAGGGACUUGAAGGGACACCGACUCCUUCUGAGGCAGGUGAGCUGUGAAACUCCAUUGUUCACCAUCAAAGGGGACCCACCGGAGAAACAAUGAGAUCUCUACCCAGGAGAACAUUCCAGUUAAUAAAAGGCUGAGGCCGUCGGGGACCUAUUCCCUCCAGCAACA